UGUACUUCAGUUAUGGUUUUAAUUCGUUUUUUAUUUGAGAAUACAAUAUUCCAACUUUUUUCAUGCAAUUUUCAAAAUGACAUCAGCAUAUCAAUCGGUAUGUUGGCAAUGACGCUGCUACAUUGUUGUUGAGGUGUACUAUGGUCCGUGGUCGAUCGACAUAAUCCAGGGAUUUCAAAUAACCCCAUAAAAGAAAUCACAGGGACACAAAUCUGAAGAGAGUGCCGCCCAUUGGAGAUCGACUCUGAGAGAACUAAGGCGGGCUCUGUUACUCCUGUUACGCUGAGACUCGUGCUGUUACUCCAUCUUGCUGAAACCAUACGUUUCUAACAUUCUUUUCUUCGAGGCUUGAAAGAAAAAAACUGCGCGUUUGUUUUCUUAAAAAACCGAAGAUUAACUCGUUCACACUCUGGUGCAAAACUUUCGAUUCUAAAAUUUAGCAUCUGCACGUAUGCCAAAAGCACAAUUGGUCAGUCUCAGUAGCUUUAGAUGAUAUUUCAAUUGACCAGGUCGAUUCUCUUAAAAUAUUGAGAAUUUAUAUAUGUAAACUCUCGAUAUAGGUUGGUUCCUCAUAUUGAUUAUUUAGUAUCAUCAAUAUCGAAGCGAUUGAAUAUAGUGAAAUGUCUUUCCUCCUUGAAGUUUAAUUGCGAUGUGCUCUCGAUUUUGUGAGUGAUUGAUUCCACGAUAACAUGUAAAAUACUUUAUGGUUUUACUUCUCAAUGUAAUUUAAAUAAAAUUAAGGUGAUUUAUAAUAGUGCAA
Stomoxys calcitrans (stable fly) is the source of this 760-nucleotide long non-coding RNA. RefSeq lists it as uncharacterized. The record is from RefSeq and is a predicted model, not a curated record. The transcript is spliced from 2 exons. Lineage: Eukaryota; Metazoa; Arthropoda; Insecta; Diptera; Muscidae.